GACGAACGCUGGCGGCGUGCCUAAUACAUGCAAGUAAGACGCAGUUGCGAACGGGUGAGUAACGCGUAGGUAACUAACUAUUAGAGGGGGAUAACUAUUGGAAACGAUAGCUAAUACCGCCUACAAGUAAAUGGACCUGCGUUGUAUUAGCUAGUAGGUUGGGUAAUGGCCUACCUAGGCAACGAUACAUAGCCGACCUGAGGAGGGGAUCGGCGAAACGUGGUCUGAGACACGGUCCAGACUCCUACUGGAGGCAGCAGUAGGGAAUCUUCGGCAAUUGGGUGAAUCCUGACCGAGCUACGCGGGGUGAGUGAAGAAGGUUUUCGGAUCGUAGAGCUCUGUUGUUAAGGAAGCGGUGCUUAACCAGAAUGGGACGGCUAACUACGUGCCAGCAGCCGCGGUAAUAC
RNAcentral lists this ribosomal RNA (407 nucleotides) under uncultured bacterium. RNAcentral's name for it is "partial 16S ribosomal RNA". It matches the Rfam family "Bacterial small subunit ribosomal RNA", at positions 28 to 526 of the family's 1533-position model. The record is from RNAcentral.